Non-coding RNA from Zonotrichia albicollis (white-throated sparrow), 1972 nucleotides. NCBI's taxonomy places the organism in Eukaryota, Metazoa, Chordata, Aves, Passeriformes, Passerellidae. The record is from RefSeq and is a predicted model, not a curated record.
AGAGGACAGAAGGAAGCAUGAAAGCUAAGAAUUCAUCUUCAUAUCUCAUAAAGCAGGAGCGGAGGAAGUUGACUGCUAACAUAAUUAGCAGAUGAUUGCACGGGGGAGGCUGAAAUCUUUAACAGCUGUUUCAAAGCAUUCUGCACCAAAUCUUCUGUGCUGCAGAGCACUUCCAGCUCUUGAAUGGCAUUCUCUCCAAUGACACAGAUUAUGGGACCAUGGAGUGGAGGCCUCCACGAAGGACUUAACUUGUUCAUUUACUUGGAAAAAAGGAUAAAGGGAAGACAAUAUGAAUCAAUGCUACCAUUUGGUACAGAAGAGUCACUAUGAAAGAAAGGCAGAGCGCAGCACAGAACUUACUAUUAUAAAAGAAAUACUCUUAAUAGUUGGGUGUGAUGGAAUAAUAAUCAUAAAAUUAGGAAGGAAAGAACUGCUUUAGCUCCCUAUGGAGUAUUAUAGAGUCUGCCAGAUGUAAAGUAGUAUGUGUCAAGUUGCAGAUGGAAAAAUAAGAGCUUUAGCAAUAAAUCUAUAAUUAAGUAAUGACUGAAGUACCAAGUACAUUUACAAACUGCGCAUCACGUUGUCCCAGAGGAGGAAAACUACUUGGUUUGGGAGAGUUUUCAAGAUGAGACACUUAAAUGGUUUGUGCAGUACAAAACUUCUGCUGGGAUGUGCUACCAACAUAUUCUUUCGACAGAUUCAGUCAUAGCAGCACUGAAAUUAAUCUUUCCAUGUCCUUUCCCAGUUCCGCAGUGUGUGCUGGUUUAAGUGGAACAGAGGAACACAGAAACCAUGCAUUUCGGCCUCUGUUGUUGUUGCAAGCACUCUGGUAGAACACAAAUGAGAAUGGGGCUAAUGGCACUGCCUGCUACAAAGCAUUACUUCCUCUCCCCUACCCACAGGUGCCUGAUCCGUAACAGGGACCCAGACAAGAUCAACGUGCAAGGAUGGUGAGUAUGGAAAUAUAUUCACAGUUUACAUUCCUGGGCCUGUGCUCCUAAACCUCCCGCAAGAGUGUAAACUCAGGCCUUUCUUUUGCUUUGGUAAAUGCAGCAGUUUCAUCAAUAUCAACAUUUUUCAUUAUUUUUUUUUAAGCAGUGAGAAAUGGCUUGCCCGGUACACACAGCAAGCUUUCCCAGGAUUUAGGGAAACUCAAACUUUUCAACUACUACUAGUCUGAUUGCAAGGUAUGAAAGCACUUGCUCUCUUAAGAGAAUUAGACUGUUAAGAUCUUGAGCAAUUUCUAUCAAAAUCAAGUGUUUACAUUAGAGCUUAUGCUUCUAAAUCUCUUUAUGGGUUUUGAAAAUUUAGUUACAAGGGCAAAUCAAGAUAAAUUUGACAAGAUCUGCUCAAGUCCUUUUAUUUGUAGCCUCUGUUAAAUGAAAGAAUUCCUGUAAGCUAAUGUUUUCUAAAAUAUGGAUGCCAAAUUGACUAAAGCAUUUCUUGAAGGAAAGAGGAGGAUUAUUUUGAAGAAACUGUAACAGAAUUUUCUUUUGAGGAAAUUAUAAUACAAUUUUUUGUCAAGUUGAAUCUAGACUCAGUUGUUUUAAAUCACUUGAAUCAGAAACGUGUGGGCUUUUUAUCCCUUUUUAGUUUAACAAUCUCAGGUGAUUUCCAAAAGGAAAGGCACAGGGAAGGCUUCACUCACUAAUUCACACCGUGACAAUGACUGCUAAAGUGCCUUCUGAGAUUUAAAGUGGGGAGCUGUUCCUUGAAAGUCAGCAGCCAACGUGACAGCCAGCAGGAUGCAAUUGUCCAAGUGAUGUGUGGAGGUGUUCUGUAUUAUGUGAAUCUCCUUCCUUUCCAGCUAGGUGGUAAUGUGCAUUUAUGCAGAAAGCACACCAGAAUGGAGGGCUGAUUUUAAUUUAAUCCUAUAAGUACUCAGUGUAAGAACAGUUCUUUCACAAAGGUAAAAUUUAGCUCUAUAAGUUUAAAAUUAAAGUAUAUACUGUAGCAAAAUGACUCAAAUUUU